AAAAUAUUCUUUUCUCUACCCAGACAUUAUUCAGCCAUUUUCCAGGGUAUGCUGCUCUUAGUGAAGAUUUCUGAAAGAGGAAUGAGUAUGUCUGGAGUGAAUUCCUGUUGUUACCCAUCUUUACAGAAGAGGAUCUGUCACCUACACAGGGGAGCACAGGUUGUUGUCCUAUAAAGCUGUUCAAGUUCCUCUCUUCACAAGAACAUCUUCCUGCUCUCCCUGCUGCCCAUAAACAUUAUGUUAGAUCGAGAUGAAGGUGUUGCAGCUGACAACAAAAAGUCUCUCAGGAGCUGGAUUUUCCCUCCUUGCAACUCAGGAAAAGCAGAGGGAGAGAAAAAAAAGCAGUCUCAACAUUACUUUUUCACCUUAUUAUUAUCUAUCUUUAUUUCACCAUUAUUAGUUAGAUCUAAUUCUUGUCAUGUUGACAUGGAAAUCAGAAGACGAAAUCUAGCUGAGUGAAGCACAAGGGAAGGGGUUAAUGCUUAUUGUUCUCUCUUUGUGUUAACCUAAUCAUAUGUUAACUACAAUUAAAUAAAAUCUGCCCUGCUACCAAUAUUUGAUUUUGUUAUAAGAAAAGCAAAGAUGUAAACCUGUCUGUGUAUAGCAGUCUACAGAGUAAAAUUACUGAGAAAAAAAUAAAGAAAGAAGGCACUAGAAAAGAGUUGAUCGACUAUACAGAAUGCCUUAUUAGUGAGAAUUAGCUGUCAGAUAAUUUUGUACCAGUCUUAUCUUUUUUAUUUCCAGAUGCAAAGGUUUAGGUGUGUAAAGGAGGUCUCAAAAUCCUUCAUGCUUCUUCUGUUUACCUCUUUUCUUUCUCUGUUUCUCAUUUCUAACUCAGAGUAGGCCUUUGG
This is a long non-coding RNA of Parus major (Great Tit), 851 nucleotides long. RefSeq lists it as uncharacterized. The transcript has 3 exons. The record is from RefSeq and is a predicted model, not a curated record. Lineage: Eukaryota; Metazoa; Chordata; Aves; Passeriformes; Paridae.